UUCCUGACUCUCCCCGGAGCGGAAGUGACGUCGGCAGAGGAGCCGGAACCGGGCUGUGAAGGAGCGUUGGCCGCUGCGGCUCUGCCUGGCUCGCGCGGGGCCGUUGGAGCCUCUCCCGGGCCGGAGAAGGGUUUGUGACUGAGAUUAGGGCUCUGAUCGUACUGAGCGUGGCCCUGUUCUGCCAGGUGCUGCAGAGACCCCAACUGAGAUCUGGGCCCUGUUCUGCCAGGCACUGAAGAGACCCCAGGUGUGUGACUGAGAUCAGGGCUCUUAUCGUACUGAGCGU
Molecule: long non-coding RNA, 286 nt
Organism: Mauremys reevesii (Reeves's turtle)
Lineage: Eukaryota; Metazoa; Chordata; Testudines; Geoemydidae
Exons: 3
Source: RefSeq, a predicted model, not a curated record